Molecule: ribosomal RNA, 465 nt
Filed under: uncultured bacterium
Lineage: Bacteria
Description: partial 16S ribosomal RNA
Rfam family: Bacterial small subunit ribosomal RNA
Source: RNAcentral
CUACGGGGGGCACCAGUGAGGAAUUUUGCGCAAUGGGGGCAACCCUGACGCAGCAACGCCGCGUGAGUGAAGAAGGCCUUUGGGUCGUAAAGCUCUGUCAACAGGGAAGAAGUUACUUCAUAUUAAUAGUAUGUAGUAUUGACGGUACCUGUGGAGGAAGCAUCGGCUAACUCCGUGCCAGCAGCCGCGGUAAUACGGGGGAUGCAAGCGUUAUUCGGAAUCAUUGGGCGUAAAGGGCACGCAGGCGGCUCUGUCAGUCAGAUGUGAAAGCCCGGGGCUCAACCCCGGACGUGCAUUUGAAACAGCAGAGCUUGAGUACGGUAGAGGAAAGCGGAAUUCCUGGUGUAGAGGUGAAAUUCGUAGAUAUCAGGAGGAACACCGGUGGCGAAGGCGGCUUUCUGGACCGAAACUGACGCUGAGGUGCGAAGGCGUGGGUAGCGAACAGGAUUAGAUACCCGUGUAGUC